AUACGGAGGGGGUUAGCGUUGUUCGGAAUUACUGGGCGUAAAGCGCACGUAGGCGGACUGGAAAGUUGGGGGUGAAAUCCCGGGGCUCAAUCCCGGAACUGCCUCCAAAACUUCCAAUCUCGAGAUCGAGAGAGGUGAGUGGAAUUCCAAGUGUAGAGGUGAAAUUCGUAGAUAUUUGGAGGAACACCAGUGGCGAAGGCGGCUCACUGGCUCGAUACUGACGCUGAGGUGCGAAAGCGUGGGGAGCAAACAGGAUUAGAUACCCCAGUAGUCC
This 274-nucleotide ribosomal RNA is filed under the name uncultured bacterium. RNAcentral's name for it is "partial 16S ribosomal RNA". It matches the Rfam family "Bacterial small subunit ribosomal RNA", at positions 523 to 796 of the family's 1533-position model. The record is from RNAcentral.